AUUUUCUUUUGUAUUAAGGCUGAAUAAUAUUUCACUGUUUAUAUAUAGCACAUUUUCAUUAUUCAUUAUUUCAUUAUCCAUUAUUCGUUAUUAUCCAUCUGUUAAUGAACAUGUAGGUUGAUUCCAUGUUAUGAAUGAUGAUGUAAUGAAUAUGGGAUUGUAAAUAUCUCAUCAACAUACUGAAUGCAUACCCCCUGGAUUUGUAUCCAGUAGUAGAAUUUCUGUCAUAUGAUGAUUCUAUUUUUAAUUUUUUGAGAAACUUCCAUACUAUUUGCCAUAAUGACCAUACUUGUUUGCAUUUCCUCCAACAGUGUGCCAGAGCUCCCUUUACUGAACAUUCUUGCCAACACUUGUCAUCUUUUCUCUUUUUGACAACAGUCAUUCUAAAAGACAGGAGAUGUUUAUUGUGAUUUUAAUUUAUAUUUCUCUCAUAACUAGUGAUGGUGAAUAUUUUUCAUAUACCCAUUGGCCAUUUAUAUCUCCUCUUUGGGGAAAUGUCUGUUUGAGUGAGAACUCAGCCCAUUUUUAAACUGGAUAUCUUAUAUUCUUGCUAUUGAGUUGUUUCAGUUCCUUUUACAUUUUGAAUAUAACCCCUUAUGGAAUAAAUGGUUUGCAAACAUUAUGACCCAUUCAGUAGUUUGUAUCUUCACUUAAAUGAUUGUUUCCUUUUUUAUAUAAAAGCUUUUUAGUUGAUGCAAUCUGAUAUAUUCUGGCUUUUAUUGUUUAUGCUUUUGUACUCAUAUCUAAAAUAUUAUUGCCCAGACCAAUGUCAUGGAGAUUUCCCCCUAUGUUUUUGUUAUGUUUUAGAUAUGUGAUGUCCUCAAAAGCUCAUGUGUGAGACAAUGCAAGAAUGUUUAGAGUUGUAAUGAUGAGGUGAUGUUGCCUAAUCAGUGGAUUCAUAAACUCAUAUGGACUAAGUGAGUGGUCGCUAUAGGCAGAUGGUAGUGGCUGCAAAAGGGGUCAUAAUUUUGGGGUUUAUAUUUUGUCCCUGGUAGCCGGAGCAUUCUCU
Molecule: long non-coding RNA, 1009 nt
Filed under: Marmota monax (woodchuck)
Lineage: Eukaryota; Metazoa; Chordata; Mammalia; Rodentia; Sciuridae
Source: RNAcentral